Molecule: ribosomal RNA, 465 nt
Filed under: Vreelandella stevensii
Lineage: Bacteria; Pseudomonadati; Pseudomonadota; Gammaproteobacteria; Oceanospirillales; Halomonadaceae
Description: partial 16S ribosomal RNA
Rfam family: Bacterial small subunit ribosomal RNA
Source: RNAcentral
CCUACGGGUGGCAGCAGUGGGGAAUAUUGGACAAUGGGCGAAAGCCUGAUCCAGCCAUGCCGCGUGUGUGAAGAAGGCCUUAGGGUUGUAAAGCACUUUCAGUGGGGAAGAAAGCCUUGGGGCUAAUACCCUCGAGGAAGGACAUCACCCACAGAAGAAGCACCGGCUAACUCCGUGCCAGCAGCCGCGGUAAUACGGAGGGUGCGAGCGUUAAUCGGAAUUACUGGGCGUAAAGCGCGCGUAGGCGGUCUGAUAAGCCGGUUGUGAAAGCCCCGGGCUCAACCUGGGAACGGCAUCCGGAACUGUCAGGCUAGAGUGCAGGAGAGGAAGGUAGAAUUCCCGGUGUAGCGGUGAAAUGCGUAGAGAUCGGGAGGAAUACCAGUGGCGACGGCGGCCUUCUGGACUGACACUGACGCUGAGGUGCGAAAGCGUGGGUAGCAAACAGGAUUAGAUACCCCAGUAGUC